CCGCGUCUCAUUAGCUAGUUGGUAGGGUAAUGGCCUACCAAGGCAACGAUGAGUAGCUGGUCUGAGAGGAUGAUCAGCCACACUGGAACUGAAACACGGUCCAGACUCCUACGGGAGGCAGCAGUGGGGAAUAUUGCGCAAUGGGCGAAAGCCUGACGCAGCAACGCCGUGUGAGGGAUGAAGGCUUUCGGGUCGUAAACCUCUGUCGGAAGGGAAGAACGGGCAUUGGUCUAAUAGGCCUUUGUUUUGACGGUACCUUUAGAGGAAGCACCGGCUAACUCCGUGCCAGCAGCCGCGGUAAUACGGAGGGUGCAAGCGUUAUUCGGAAUUACUGGGCGUAAAGCGCACGUAGGCGGCCUUGUAAGUCAGGGGUGAAAUCCCACGGCUCAACCGUGGAACUGCCUUUGAAACUGCAGGGCUUGAAUCCUGGAGAGGGUGGCGGAAUUCCUGGUGUAGGAGUGAAAUCCGUAGAUAUCAGGAGGAACACCGGUGGCGAAGGCGGCCACCUGGACAGGCAUUGACGCUGAGGUGCGAAAGUGUGGGGAGCAAACAGGAUUAGAUACCCUGGUAGUCCACACCGUAAACGAUGAACACUAGAUG
RNAcentral lists this ribosomal RNA (600 nucleotides) under uncultured sulfate-reducing bacterium. RNAcentral describes it as "bacterial SSU rRNA". It matches the Rfam family "Bacterial small subunit ribosomal RNA", at positions 231 to 822 of the family's 1533-position model. The record is from RNAcentral.